Molecule: ribosomal RNA, 492 nt
Filed under: uncultured bacterium
Lineage: Bacteria
Description: partial 16S ribosomal RNA
Rfam family: Bacterial small subunit ribosomal RNA
Source: RNAcentral
AGUGGACGCUGGCGGUAGGCCUAACACAUGCAAGUCGAACGGCAGCACAGUAAGAGCUUGCUCUUACGGGUGGCGAGUGGCGGACGGGUGAGGAAUACAUCGGAAUCUACUUUUUCGUGGGGGAUAACGUAGGGAAACUUACGCUAAUACCGCAUACGACCUACGGGUGAAAGCAGGGGAUCUUCGGACCUUGCGCGAUUGAAUGAGCCGAUGUCGGAUUAGCUAGUUGGCGGGGUAAAGGCCCACCAAGGCGACGAUCCGUAGCUGGUCUGAGAGGAUGAUCAGCCACACUGGAACUGAGGCACGGUCCAGACUCCUACGGGAGGCAGCAGUGGGGAAUAUUGGACAAUGGGCGCAAGCCUGAUCCAGCCAUACCGCGUGGGUGAAGAAGGCCUUCGGGUUGUAAAGCCCUUUUGUUGGGAAAGAAAAGCAGCAGGUUAAUACCCCGCUGUUCUGACGGUACCCAAAGAAUAAGCACCGGCUAACUUCGUG